Molecule: long non-coding RNA, 1109 nt
Filed under: Salmo salar (Atlantic salmon)
Lineage: Eukaryota; Metazoa; Chordata; Actinopteri; Salmoniformes; Salmonidae
Description: lncRNA (ENSSSAG00000114423.1)
Source: RNAcentral
AUAUAGUAGAAUGUAAUAUAGUAGAAUAUAAUAUAGUAGAAUAGAAGGGUAUAAUGUUUACAGUAUAUUUGUCAAGGAUGUCAAAUCAAAUCAAAUGUUAUUGGUCCAUACACAUGGUUAGCAGAUGUUAAUGCGAGUGUAGCGAAAUGUUUGUGCUUCUAGUUCCGACCAUGCAGUAAUAUCUAACAAGUAAUCUAACAAUUCCCCAACAACUACCUUAUACACACAAGUGUAAAGGAAUGAAUAAGAAUAUGAACAUAUAAAUAUAUGGAUGAGCGAUGGCCGAACGACAUAGGCAAGAUACAGUAGAUGGUAUAGAGUACAGUAUAUACAUAUGAGAUGAGUAAUGUAGGGCAUGUAAACAUUAUAUAAAGUGGCAUUGUUUAAAGUGGCUAGUGAUACAUUUAUUACAUCCAAUCUUUUAUUAUUAAAGUGGCUGGAGAUUUGAGUCAGUAUGUGGGCAGCAGCCACUCAAUGUUAGUGAUGGCUGUUUAACAGUCUGAUGGCCUUGAGAUAGAAGCUGUUUUUCAGUCUCUCGGUCCCAGCUUUGAUGCACCUGUACUGACCUCGCCUUCUGGAUGGUAGUGGUGUGAACAGGCGGUGGCUCGGGUGGUUGUUGUCCUUGAUGAUCUUUUUGGCCUUCCUGUGACAUCGGGUGGUGUAGGUGUCCUGGAGGGCAGGUAGUUUGCCCCCGGUGAUGCGUUGUGCAGACCUCACUAUCCUCAGUAUCCACACGUCUCAGUGUGGAUACUGUUGUAAUAGAUCAGCUGAGAUGGUAUGUUUUGACGUGAGAAAGGAUGCCAACCCCCAGUCCCGUUAUCGCCACCUCACCCGCUCUUAAGAUAACCUUUUGGCCGUCUGGGAGCCCAAGGCUGGUUAGGAGACACCACUAGAGAGACUUAUGUAAUUGUGAUGAACUGAGAGAAUAUUAGGGGUAGCACUGUGAUUCAUUAAACACAUGCUGCCUUCCCUGCUCCUAUGUUCUUACCUCUUUCCCUUUGUCAUCUCCUUUUUCUUCCUCUGUUUUUAUAAUGUGCAUUGAAGUAGAGUGAAAUUGUGUUUAUAAUGCAUGUAUUGUGUAUUUAUAACACUUGUAUAAUGAACUUCUU